RNAcentral lists this unclassified non-coding RNA (1981 nucleotides) under Daphnia pulicaria. RNAcentral's name for it is "uncharacterized LOC124311272, transcript variant X1". The record is from RNAcentral. Lineage: Eukaryota; Metazoa; Arthropoda; Branchiopoda; Diplostraca; Daphniidae.
GAAUUUCUCAUUAAUUCCGUGGAUUCAGCUCCGAGCUUUCUUUCUAGAUCUAUCGAUCCCUAUUUUUUUUUUUUCGUUCAUCAAAUGAGAUGACUGAAUUUUCUUUUUGUUUUCCUAUUCACAUUCUAGAAAACUCAUUUUAUUAUUCCUCUCGUGGGGCUUUGGAUGAUUCCCAGUCCAGGCUUGUCUCCGUUUCUUUGGGCGCCUGCGUCACUCUGCUCCUGCAACUUUUACCGUCGGUUAAGAAACGCAUAAAUAGUCGAUGGAUGCCUGACUCGCUCCGUACUCUUCGUUUCCAGCUGGUCGCAUGCUAUAAGCUUAAGCCAGACUUUUCGUUGAUAAUGCAAGUGCUUCGCUAUUGAGAGCCACGCGCAUUGUGCACGUAGGGAGCAGCGGCGAGUCAGCGCGGAUGUUGUUGUUCUUCUUGCUCCGGAAAACACUCUCUCGAAAAAGUAACAACAAAAUCCUCCAACAGGAUCAGUUCAGAAGAGUCUGAGUGAAGCGCAAAUACACAGGUGGGGAAGAUUGGAAGGGGGGAAACAAAUCCGAUCCAUAAGAACAGGAACCACCCUGACAUAGGGGCGAUGAAUGUAACCGACGUCAUUCGGCCGGGGUAGUUUUGCGCCGACGCCAACAACCAACCCAACAACAGCGAUGACGUCGUCGGUAUCUGUCAGCGAGCACCAGCCUCCGACGGUGCCCUUGUUCCUUCAGCAGCAGCAGCAGCAGCAGCAGCACACUCGCCGCCAUAUUGGACGCCCCAUUCGUGUUUGGCCGUUCGCGAUGGAGUGUCUUGCAGAAACCGAGGCCGAGACGGAGCAGACAGCCGAAACGACGACCGGACACUUGGGAAAUUGUGAAGGCGUAACGGCGGCCGUCGUUACGUCGUCGCCGCAGCCGACCGUAAGCGCCAACAAGAAAGACACUCACAUCAAACAAGCAGGUGCCAACAGCCAAAGUAGAAAGCAGUCGCUGGACGGAACCAAGAAAAUUGUCGAAGCCGAAUCCGUGGGCUGCACUCCAUUCUUCGGUGUCAAGCACUACCUGAACAAUUUUUACGGCAUCACCGAUGGCGAUACUGACGCCAAAAUAGUGCGCAUCAUCGAACCUGAGGACGAAGAUGAUUACUUCGCUAUAAUGACGGCCGGGGCCGGCCAGAGUAAAAGCGAAGUCGAAUGUUGGCACGUACAUCGUCGAUGCUUCGCCUGGUCAUUCAGCGUCGGAACACUGGUUGUCCUGUUGGGCGUGACAUGUCUCCUCUUGGGUUUCCUGCUGCCUCGGCACUCGGCGCUCGUCAGCCAGAUGGAGGACAAUGACGUCAAGAUGUGGAUGUCGGCCCACUCCACCAACAGCGAACCGUCCAUCUCCUCGCUCAACAUCAUUGAUCGCCAGGCUAUCGAGCACAACAACGUGUUAGACACACUGAAAAUGGGCGGCGGGAUCGCCACUUGCUUCGGCUGUUUCUUGCUCCUCAUGACUCUCAUCUUUCCGCCCGGUAGUCAUCCGUCGAAGUGGGCCGACGAGGGAGAGACGUCACAAAUCAGUCAAAUUAAUCAGGCUCUCAAAAAUUGUCUACUCUCGGUCCAUUCGAAAAACCAUCCAACCUUCUUCUACUCCGGGCUGGUCGCAUCGACUACUAAUGAGAAAAUACCCGUUUUCCAGCAACUUCAGUCCGUUCAGCCCAAAGAUUAGUCGAAAAGUCUGAGCCCACUGAUCCUUAAAAUUUAUCAAAACACAUCAAGGUCGUGAAGAAUGCAGACCCAGCAUUGAAUACGUUUUCCCGUAAACUGUCGCCGUUCAAUGUUCUACACACAUAUAAAAUUAUACAAAAAAUAAAUAGACAUAUGAUUAAUUAUUAUUAAUUCUAUACAGUUAUACAUGUUUGACGAAUAUAAUUUACAAUAGAUACUCGUGUGCACAGUGCAGUAUAUACAUAUAAUGAAGUGAACCGGAGAGAAAUAUACAGAGCAUGGAAUAACAA